AUUAGUCAUAAAGGAGAGGGAUUUGACUCUUUCUACCUGGGUUUAGAUGACUAAACCAAAGGAAAAUGGACAUCACCAAGAGGCAUCUCAGUUUAAUUUAAGGGAAGACUUCCUAAGAAUUUGAGCUAUCUCAAAGUGGAAUGGUCUGGGGACAUGUAGAGGAUGGGGCUUGAUAAUUGGCUCUGAAUACUUGAAAGACUGACAUGUGGAAGAGGGUUUAGACUUGUUCUGCUUGACUCCAGAGGGCAAAUUCAAGAACUUUGGGUAGAAGCUGCAAACAGGCAAAUUUUAGGUAUGGGUAUCAGCAAAACUUUUCUUACCACUCAAGUUAUGUGCUGGUGGGAUGGGCUGUUCCUCUUCACUAGAGGUCUUAGAGCAAAGGCUGCAGGAUCACUUGUUGGGUGUAUUUUACCAGAGAUUCUUUUUCAGACACUGUUUAGACAGACUUGUUUGCCUCCUGGAGCAUCUUUCAGUUUUGAGAUUCUAUGAUUCAUUUUUUUUCUUUCACAAAUUUUUGUCUAGUUUUAGGAGGCCUUUCAAUAAGCCAUUUACGGAGACAGGAGGCAGAUAGAGAAUGGCACUUCCAGAAACAGUUCUGUCUUUCUACUGGGGUCCCUUUUUUCUUCUCUAAAGAGCUGCUGUUGCUUUAGAGAUUUCACCCUAUGCCGCCAUUCUUCUUUUCAAAGUAUCCUGAGGAUGAAAUGAGAUGAGAGUGUUCUGUUAGGUGCUAUGAAAAUGUGCAAGUAUUAUUAUUAUUAUUAUUGCUUCAUGAGGCUUGUGAUCUGUCUCCUCUCCUCUUUCUUCACUUCCCUCACUCUCUUUCACUUCCCAUUCUUCUCCUGCUCUUUCCUUUUACAUCUUAUUGCUAUCUUUUAUUUCUACAUCACCUUUAUUUUCAAAUAUAUCCCUGUGCCUUUCUCUAUCCAAAGAGUCACCCUAAAUAAGAAAGAAUGAAAAAGAGAGGGUUUCGGGGAAGGAAAACAUUUUAGUGAAACUUAGCUGAGUUUUCAUCUCUACAAAGAAGAGAAGACAGUGCAUUUUUUAUCUUUUUUUUUUUGGCAGGGGGUGGGCACAGGACUUGUAAUCUUUCCAAUUACAGAACAUAACAUAAUUUUUUCUUUGUUUUUCCUCUGUUGGAGUUGGACACCUAUUAAGCUCAUAGUAAUAAGCUCCUUGAAGUUAGGAUCUAUCAUCUCUCUUUUUUUGGUGGUGGGGAAACUUGGUCAUUCUAAUUAUAGAACAUAAUUUUUUCACUGUUUUUCCUCUGCUGGAAUUGGACACCCAAGCAAAGAUCUCAUAGUAGCAUAUAAACUCCUUGAGGACAAGAUCUAUUAUCUCUAGGAUCUAGAUCUUGUGUAGACACUUGGUAAAUGCCUACAGUUUUAAAUAGAUUAGAAGGGCAGUGAAAAGUUGGGUCUAAAAGUGUGUGUGGCAGAGGGAAGGAGAUAAGGAAAUUUAUGGUAAGAGAAGCCUAUGAAGAAGCCUUUGAGUGGAUAAUCUUAGGAAAUAGUUCUUUUAUCCUGGCCAGGGAGGGGCCACCUUAGCAUUUUCCCAAAAGGCAGACAGCUCCACUUACCCUAUUGAGAAGGUGUUAAAAUGAGAUAUUGUACACAAAAUGUUUUGUAAACCCUCAAACAUUCUAUAAAGGUCAACUCAAAUAACAACAAUGACAAUUAUUGUGAUUAUAAAGAGGAAAAUACUGGGUCUAUUGUGUAAAUGCUUCACUGAAUCUCUCUAAUUCCCUACCUGCUUUUUCACUCUGCCAUGGAGAGCAAACUUUGGCGUUUUUGUCAUCCUCUAAAUCCCAGAAAGAAAGACUACAUAGUAUAGUGGAUGAAGGUUGGGCUUGCAGUCCAGAAGACCAGGAUUUAAAUCCUGUAUCAGUGAUUUAACUAGCUGUGUGACCCUGAAGCAAAUCAGUUGGGCUUUAGUUGCCUCAUUUGUAAAAUGGGUGGGUUGGACUUAAUAACCUCCCAGGUACUUUCUAACUCAAAAUCUAUGAUCCUUUGACAUGGAUUCAAAUCCUGGGUGAGCACUUACCACCCACAUGACCAUUAGCAAAUAAUUUCCUUUAUUUGCAUUUUUGGUUUCCUUUUUUGUACAAAAAAUGAGUUGAAUUUCUAAGGUUUCUUCUUGAUUGAAAUUCUAAGAUGCCCAAGAAUGACUUGUAAUCCAUCUCCUCCCCAUGAUUUUCUUUCUCUAUUUCUUUUUUUCUUUCAUUUUUUUAAAAUAUAGGAUUGACAUUCCUUCAAGAUUGGGAAACAUGUUUUUGUACUCUAUUUUCAGCACUCUCAGCCUGGAGCAUCCAAAUGCAAUGUAUGCACAUACCAGGUAGGCCAUAAAGGGUUGUUGAAUGAAUGUUAGACAAGUACAUUAGCAUUCUAUGACUUGUAUAGAAACUCAUUGUUUCUAUACUAAAGUUUUCCAAAAGUGAAGGGACAUCAGCAUAGGAUCACUUGUGUGAAAAGUCUAUGAGAUGGGUCCUUUGUCAUCCCUUCCCAGUCCAUAUAACGAAGAAAACUCAGACCCAUGGCUAGAGUGCCUGUUUGAAUGAUCUACUGCAUACAUUCCAUUUGUCAACCACAAGUUCAUUUCAAAAGCAGUCAAGAACAUUUUAUUCAAACUACCACUUGAAUUUUGGCAGAAAAAAAAAUUGCAUGUACACUUAGAGCCAAAAUCUACCCUCAACUAUGCACACGCUACUUUCAUUGAGAAGAAUAAGGAAGUUUCCCUGUCAAACCCAGCUCUAAGACCAGUCUGCAACUCUUUGUAAUCAAUGUGACAUUUAUUCUUCUCAUCUGUAGCAGAGUCAGGUGAGGUGAUUGUAGAGAGAAUAUAAAGAAAUACUCUUUUUCCUACCCCCUUCCAAAAAGACCUCUUAAAUGUCAAAUCAAAUUAAAUGAAAUCAUUGUAUCAGGGCAGAAUACAUAUAAGUUGCAGAUGUCGAUAGUGUAGUCCUUCAAUAAAUUCCCUUAGUCUCCAUGCUUUACUGGAGAUUUUAUUGACCUGGUCCAGAUUAAACAAAGUUCAAAUACACUUAUUAGUUGAACAAAUAUCAUUUGCUAGAGCAUGGAUCAAAUUCAUUUAACUGAAAUAAAUUUUUUCCCCUUUCACUCACAUUCUUUUUUCCUUCCCUCCUCCCUCCCUUUCUCCUUCCUUUUUCUCUGUCUUUUCUUUCUUUCUUUCUUUCUUUCUUUCUUUCUUUCUUUCUUUCUUUCUUUCUUUCUUUCUUUCUUUCUUUCUUUCUUUCUUUCUUUCUUUCUUUCUUUCUUUCUUUCUUUCUCUCUCUCUCUCUCUCUCUCUCUCUCUCUCUCUCUCUCUCUCUCUCUCUCUCUCUCUCUCUCUCUCUCUCUCUCUCUUUUUCUUUCUUUUAUUCUUUCUUUCUUUCCUUCUUUCUUCAUGCACAUUUAAUACCUGAGAGGGAGCAGACUAAAGUUGGAUUGCCUGGCAGUGGUCUAAAUCAAAGCCCUGGCAUUUAAGGACAAAUUAAGUCUCCCAACACAAAGGCCAAGAGAGGAGCUGUGCAUGUUGGGGAGGGAAGCCCUCUGUUUCAUUUUGCCUCUGUGGUGGAGCUGGGACCCCUGUGUCACCUCCUGUUAACUAGUGUGUAAGGCAUGGCACUCUAAUAAAACAUGCUAGACACCAAAAGGCCAAAACCCAGUUCACAGAUGUUGUAAUGUUAUGAGAUAAUUUUCAGGCCUGAAUGGGGUGAAAAGGGUGCAUUUGUUCGAAAGGGGAAUACCUAUGGAGGUCUUUUCUGUGAGCAAUACCAUGACUUCAUUACCAUGUCAAUUCUGGGAAAGGGCUCUGAUUUAACACAGCAGUUGGCUGGAUCCAUAUGGAGCUGAUGAACCUCUGAAUGAAUAGUGAAUGGAAAAACUGCUGGAAUCUGCCUUCACUUUGUUUCCAGGAUGACCAAUGUAAGAGGCCUAAGAGCUAUGCUGCACAGAUGGGGUAAAGAGGGAACAAGUCUAUAGGACUUAUUUAAUUUUUUUAGCUGAUUUGGUUGGUGGUUUUCCCUCCAUCUUUUUUAUACAUAUUUCAGUUGCCUAACUGCAUUUCCUUACAUUUAUCCGCUCAACAAAAACAAAAUGAGCUUUAGGGAAAUUAGAAAUGAAACACAAUAGCAUAUGUAGCAAUAAACAUUCAAACAGAAGAAAAAAAUUUGAAAUUUAAAGCACCCAGUUUUGUACGGUUUAGGAGUAAUUGAAAAUGUAAUUAAGAAAUCAUGAAAAAGACGAUUAAAAGUUUGAGAGAGACUUUUCCAGCUCUCCUAAAGGAGCCGGGAAUAUGCAGAUUUCCCCUUUUAUACCCUCCUAUAUGUCCGAGAAGGUUACAUGCCUUUCUGGUCCAAAGCUGCAUCCCAAGUGCCAAUACUGUAACGCAAAAGCUUCUCUGGCAUUAUCUAGUUUCCUUUCUGGCUUUAAAAGUGAGAACAGAUGUCACAAGAGAGGACAAAAUGGAUUUUACCCACCAAGAGGAGCUUUUCUUGGGAUCCUUAAUAGGAAGCUCCUUGAAAUGCUAAUGUACACAGUUUGUGUUGCUGGGUUUGCAUAGAGAUGGUGGGAAACAGCUCUGAUCUCAACAAAACCUUUUGUUAUUAAUCAAGAAAAUCUGGUCUUCUUGAAGCAGCUAAGCCUGGAAAUUGGUGUGGCUACCGGCAAUGCUGAAAUCUCUAUAGCAAUCUCCCGCGAACAAAAAUGCCAUAAAACACCCGAGCAGUCCUGUAAGAUAUGGCAGCUGGAGCCAUAAUAUAUUUUCCUGAUUUUCCCUCUACAUUCUUUACUCUCACCGGGCAUCCAUAUUUAAAGGAAGGAGUGUUUCUCAUGUAUCUUGUUCUUUAAAAUCUUGUUUUGCUUUUCAGCAAUUUCAAGAAGCAGCCUGGAAGGAGAGCCAUUAUAACAACACUAAUGAAGGAGUGCCAAGAGAUUUGUUUUUAAACACAACAAAAUUCCAUGGGCCUGCUAAUGAGCAGUCGAAUGGAAGUCAGGACCGAAGACUGAAAAGGAGGUGAAACAACUGGAUCGAACAAUUCAUAUUCUGCAUAAUCAACUCACAUUCUUGGAAGCUGAUUGUAGACUGUAACUCCAGAGGAGGAAGGAACUUCAGAAGCCAUCUAAUACAAUCCUCUCAUUUCAUGAAUAAGGAAACAAGGACCUAGGGAGGUUAGUGGAGGCCAGGUGUCAGAACAUCUCUGGACCAGCAACACUUCAUGGGAAAAGAAGAAAACUGGGCCUCAAUCCUAGGAAAUGAGGUUGUUUGAGCGUCAAGAAGAGGGGAAAGCAGGGGUUCUUAUAGCAACCUGCAAAUGGUAUGAAUCUAUGAAAGGAAUGAUGGAAUUUAUUAAGGAGAAAAUGGAAGAAGGAAAGCCCGGAGAAAAACAAGAACCUGUUCCAUAGAUUUUUGAGGAGAGGAGGUCCAGGGACUUAAGUAGCACAGGUACAUCUCAUGAAGGCUAGGCUAAGUGAGGAAAUGAGGUAGGAAUCUCAUUUGAAGGUAAUAGGAUGUAGGAAACUAUAUUUAGUGGGACAUUUAAAGAGGUUCAGGUCACUGUGGUAUCUAAUGGGGUGUUACAGAGAAAUGUACAAAGAGAAUAAGAAAGUCAGAUGAAGAGAGUAGGCAGGUAAAAAAAAAAAAACAAACCAAAGCAGAGGGACCUUCUGCACCACUUCAAUGUGUCCACUACACAAAUGCUUCUAAGUUAAGUAUGUGCCUCAUAACCCAAGACCAUAGGAAAUUAAGGACCUGAGUACAGAUAAAUGUUCUUAAUAAGAAUGAAUAAGAGUGAAAGAGGGUAGAAGUACCAAGGUUGUGAAGGAAGCAUAGUAUACUAAAAAGAAGACUGGACUUGAUUAGAAGUAGAAUUCAAUUUAAUAAGCCUCCAUUAAGAACUUUCUUACAAGCAAAAAGACCUAGGGUUGAGUUCGACUAUUGUCAUUUUCUAGCUGCUGUGUGACCUUGGACAAAUCAUCUGCUCUGACACUCAAUUUACUUAUCUGUAAAUAGCUGUAAAUCUCUGUACCUACCUCACAGGGCAGGGAGGAAGAUUUCACUUCCAAGAAUGGAAAAACAUUGGAAUGAUUAGAACUAUCCCUAAGUGGAAUGAACUGCUUUGGGGGGGGGGUAGUGGUUUUCCUAUCACUACCCAUCUGUUAUGGAUGUUGUAGUGAGAACUCCUAUUUGGGUAUGAUUUGGACUAGAUGGACUCUGUGACCCUUUUCAGCUAUGUUUCUUUGAUUCAUGGGACUGUCCUCAGAGCUAUAACUAGCACUUUUGGUUCCCAGGGCAAGCACAUUUUAUGGGCAGAGACCUCAGACCUUUUCACUGCCUGGUGUAGAGGAGACCUUAGACAUAAGGACAAAGACAAAGUCUCCUGGGGUAGUGGAUGGGGAUAUUGACAAGGGUGGGAGGAGGAGGGACUCAGGUAGAUACUGCUCUGAAAGUUACUACUGAGAUCCUCUCCAAGCGGGCAAGGAACACUGAGAACUGACUUGGGGUUUAGUCAUUGUAUAGUCUGGUAGCUUAUUAUUUAAAUUAAUUUUUCCUGCUAAUGUGGCACUAAUUUGUUUCUAUUUGCUAAAGGAAAAUGUGUUAUUAGUAUCCCCUCUAAAUUUCAAUACCCUAAUACAAAGCCUUGAUUGUCCCACCUAAUUACCACUCUGGUUGUCAUGUGGAUGAAAUGAGAUAAAACAUAUGGAAAUAUUU
Monodelphis domestica (gray short-tailed opossum) is the source of this 6705-nucleotide long non-coding RNA. RefSeq lists it as uncharacterized. The record is from RefSeq and is a predicted model, not a curated record. Lineage: Eukaryota; Metazoa; Chordata; Mammalia; Didelphimorphia; Didelphidae.